Molecule: ribosomal RNA, 301 nt
Filed under: uncultured bacterium
Lineage: Bacteria
Description: partial 16S ribosomal RNA
Rfam family: Bacterial small subunit ribosomal RNA
Source: RNAcentral
CAGCCGCCACGGUAAUACGUAGGUCCCGAGCGUUGUCCGGAUUUAUUGGGCGUAAAGGGAGCGCAGGCGGUUUAGUAAGUCUGAAGUUAAAGGCAUUGGCUCAACCAAUGUAUGCUUUGGAAACUGUUAGACUUGAGUGCAGAAGGGGAGAGUGGAAUUCCAGGUGUAGCGGUGAAAUGCGUAGAUAUAUGGAGGAACACCGGUGGCGAAAGCGGCUCUCUGGUCUGUAACUGACGCUGAGGAGCGAAAGCGUGGGGAGCGAACAGGAUUAGAUACCCCUGUAGUCCCUGUCUCUUAUACA